AAUUCUCAAACCGGGAUGCUUUUUUGUUUCUCGGCUUGGUGUUGGGCUUUGCAGUUCCUUUGAUUGGGAUGGCUGGCCUGAAAAGCAUUAGCUGGCUUUUAAUGUGGCAUUGGUUUCUACUCAGCGUGAUAAUGAUUUGACCGCCGAGGACAUCUGACGAGAUGGCCAAUUCUCAUUUGGGCUGCUUCUAACGUUGGUUGAGCAGAUUCUGAAUCUGCUCCACUUUUUUGGC
This 232-nucleotide unclassified non-coding RNA is filed under the name uncultured Clavulina. Its description in RNAcentral is "sequence contains ITS2". Lineage: Eukaryota; Fungi; Basidiomycota; Agaricomycetes; Cantharellales; Hydnaceae. The record is from RNAcentral.